UCCCUGGUAGCCCAGAGGUUAAGACUUUGCCUUUGAAUGCAGGGGGUCCGGGUUCGAUCCCUGGCCAGGGAA
RNAcentral lists this transfer RNA (72 nucleotides) under Ovis aries (sheep). It matches the Rfam family "tRNA". From Rfam's summary of the family: Transfer RNA (tRNA) molecules are approximately 80 nucleotides in length. Their secondary structure includes four short double-helical elements and three loops (D, anti-codon, and T loops). The record is from Rfam by way of RNAcentral. Lineage: Eukaryota; Metazoa; Chordata; Mammalia; Artiodactyla; Bovidae.